GAAUUAGGUCAAUGGAAUCUGC
RNAcentral lists this non-coding RNA (22 nucleotides) under Arabidopsis thaliana (thale cress). Lineage: Eukaryota; Viridiplantae; Streptophyta; Magnoliopsida; Brassicales; Brassicaceae. The record is from RNAcentral.